Oncorhynchus tshawytscha (Chinook salmon) is the source of this 2332-nucleotide long non-coding RNA. RefSeq lists it as uncharacterized. The record is from RefSeq and is a predicted model, not a curated record. The transcript has 3 exons. NCBI's taxonomy places the organism in Eukaryota, Metazoa, Chordata, Actinopteri, Salmoniformes, Salmonidae.
CAGGUCAACACCUUAUUCCACCUGUUGCGCUUCUUCUUCUCGUUCCAAUCCUCCUACCACCAGCAGCACCACCACCACCGUCACUACUACUCUUCCUGUUCCUAGUUCUACCUCCUCCCUCCACAGCAGUCUGACAGCUAACAGUCAGUCCAGCUCCACCCACCACCAGUACUGUUGCCCUGCCCGGCUGCUCCUGCCCAAGCCGCCUUGCGCCCUCCCCCCAUCCAGGCACUCCGACCAGGCAAGAGAGGACGAAGACGAUGACAUCGCCCAUCAGUUCUGUUGCCCCGCCUCUGAGUGCAGUAGCCCGUCCUCUAGGUAACCAGCCGAUCACUUGAACCUCCUUCUCGUUUUUUACCCUUGACCUCCAAACAACCUUACGGAGAAAACGCUGAGGGCAACAACUGGACACAACUCGUUGGUCGGGGUUUGAAAAAUAAAUAAACUUUUAAAACGCACAAACCUGGCUGGAGACAAGGCAGGAGCUCAGCUACACUGAACUGUAGUCUGGGACUUGCGGACUUUCUCUGGUCUGGACUAUCUCUGGUCUGGACUAUCUCUGGUCUGGACUAUCUCUGGUCUGGACUAUCUCUGGUCUGGACUAGCUCUCGUCUGGACUAUCUCUGGACUGAAUCUUUAUCUGCCAGAUUUUACUGUACCUCCCUUCCCUGUCCUUACCAGCAUGUCACCCUUACAACCUUGCCUAACUCCGAAUGACACAAGGCAGUCCUGAUCGGUUGACCCCUCAGACUCUGACCGUUGAAGUGUAGCGUAGGCAGUCUGAUCUCUGACCUGGGCAGUGUGUUAGGGGAACUCACCUACGGCGCCGGGCCGGGUCAAUAGAUGACGAGACGAUGGAAGAAAGAAAAAAAAACGGAAAAUGAACCCUUCAGAUUCUUUCUGUAGCUCAUAUAUAUCUACUUCCUGUAUACUGCCCUCUAGUGUCUGUAUGCUGUCUCUUUUUACUCCUUUCAAUCUCACUCUUUCUUCUUUACCUCCUUGUGAACCUUCCUCUUCCCCUCUAUCGUUCAGUGAGAGAGGACAUGGUGGGUUUAACUCUAUUCUAACCAUACGGAAAAAUAAUGAGAAAUACAUCAAAUCUUCCUGAUUCAGUGCCAAGAAAAGCUCUUAGUUUUCAACUCCUUAAACUUUAAAAUAUUGUAAUGUUUUGUGAACAGAAGAGUUAUGCUUUAUGAGCAAAAUAUCUGAAGAAAAAUAUUUAUUGAAAUGAAAACAUAUUUUAGUUAGAUUUCCCUUUUCUCAUUAGAGAAUACCUAAAUGAUAUGGUCCUCUAUUAGUUUGCAACAUAGACACAGAAACAUUAUGCCCCAAACCCAGUAAGACUCGUAUGUCAACUCAUAUUGAGUGUGAAUAGUAAGCUAUUGCAAGGCCAAGGGAUGGGUGGGGCUAGAAAACGUUACACAUGGGGUUCAAAUCUAAUCAGAACAGGGUAACCGUGGUAACCAUGGUCUCACACUGAUCCUCAUCCAGACAUUCUGUAAAUGUCGAAAUAGGAACAACCAGCGGCAUUAUAGUUCGCUAGGCGCUACUUCCCCCUACCCCUUACACAGAUAUAGGACACUACCAUAGCAGUGGUUAGAUACAGGACACUAGCAUAGCGGUGGUUAGAUACAGGACACUAGCAUAGAGGUGGUUAGCUACAGGACACUACCAUAGAGGUGGUUAGAUACAGGACACUAGCAUAGCAGUGGUUAGAUAAGGACAAUACCAUAGAGGUGGUUAGAUACAGGACACUACCAUAGAGGUGGUUAGAUACAGGACACUACCAUAGAGGUGGUUAGAUACAGGACACUAGCAUAGCAGUGGUUAGAUAAGGACAAUACCAUAGAGGUGGUUAGAUACAGGACACUAGCAUAGCAGUGGUUAGAUAAGGACAAUACCAUAGAGGUGGUUAGAUACAGGACACUACCAUAGAGGUGGUUAGAUACAGGACACUACCAUAGAGGUGGUUAGAUACAGGACACUACCAUAGAGGUGGUUAGAUACAGGACACUACCAUAGAGGUGGUUAGAUACAGGACACUACCAUAGUUGUGGUUAGAUACAGGACACUACCAUAGAGGUGGUUAGAUACAGGACACUAGCAUAGAGGUGGUUAGAUACAGGACACUAGCAUAGAGGUGGUUAGAUACAGGACACUAGCAUAGAGGUGGUUAGAUACAGGACACUAGCAUAGAGGUGGUUAGCUACAGGACACUACCAUAGAGGUGGUUAGAUACAGGACACUAGCAUAGAUGUGGUUAGAUACAGGACACUAGCAUAGAGGUGGUUAGAUACAGGACACUAGCAUAGAGGUGGUUAGAUACAGGACA